GACGAACGCUGGCGGCGUGCUUAACACAUGCAAGUCGAACGGAAAGGCCCUGCUUUUGUGGGGUGCUCGAGUGGCGAACGGGUGAGUAACACGUGAGUAACCUGCCCUUGACUUUGGGAUAACUUCAGGAAACUGGGGCUAAUACCGGAUAGGAGCCCCUGCUGCAUGGUGGGGGUUGGAAAGUUUCGGCGGUUGGGGAUGGACUCGCGGCUUAUCAGCUUGUUGGUGGGGUAGUGGCUUACCAAGGCUUUGACGGGUAGCCGGCCUGAGAGGGUGACCGGCCACAUUGGGACUGAGAUACGGCCCAGACUCCUACGGGAGGCAGCAGUGGGGAAUAUUGCACAAUGGGCGGAAGCCUGAUGCAGCAACGCCGCGUGCGGGAUGACGGCCUUCGGGUUGUAAACCGCUUUCGCCUGUGACGAAGCGUGAGUGACGGUAAUGGGUAAAGAAGCACCAGCUAACUACGUG
Molecule: ribosomal RNA, 468 nt
Filed under: uncultured bacterium
Lineage: Bacteria
Description: partial 16S ribosomal RNA
Rfam family: Bacterial small subunit ribosomal RNA
Source: RNAcentral